This 2902-nucleotide ribosomal RNA is filed under the name Klebsiella pneumoniae. RNAcentral describes it as "23S ribosomal RNA". It matches the Rfam family "Bacterial large subunit ribosomal RNA". The record is from RNAcentral. Lineage: Bacteria; Pseudomonadati; Pseudomonadota; Gammaproteobacteria; Enterobacterales; Enterobacteriaceae.
GGUUAAGCGACUAAGCGUACACGGUGGAUGCCCUGGCAGUCAGAGGCGAUGAAGGACGUGCUAAUCUGCGAAAAGCGUCGGUAAGGUGAUAUGAACCGUUAUAACCGGCGAUGUCCGAAUGGGGAAACCCAGUGCAAUUCGUUGCACUAUCGUUAACUGAAUACAUAGGUUAACGAGGCGAACCGGGGGAACUGAAACAUCUAAGUACCCCGAGGAAAAGAAAUCAACCGAGAUUCCCCCAGUAGCGGCGAGCGAACGGGGAGCAGCCCAGAGUCUGAAUCAGCUUGUGUGUUAGUGGAACGGUCUGGAAAGUCCGACGGUACAGGGUGAUAGUCCCGUACACCAAAAUGCACAGGCUGUGAACUCGAAGAGUAGGGCGGGACACGUGGUAUCCUGUCUGAAUAUGGGGGGACCAUCCUCCAAGGCUAAAUACUCCUGACUGACCGAUAGUGAACCAGUACCGUGAGGGAAAGGCGAAAAGAACCCCGGCGAGGGGAGUGAAAAAGAACCUGAAACCGUGUACGUACAAGCAGUGGGAGCACCUUCGGGUGUGACUGCGUACCUUUUGUAUAAUGGGUCAGCGACUUAUAUUCUGUAGCAAGGUUAACCGUAUAGGGGAGCCGCAGGGAAACCGAGUCUUAACUGGGCGUUAAGUUGCAGGGUAUAGACCCGAAACCCGGUGAUCUAGCCAUGGGCAGGUUGAAGGUUGGGUAACACUAACUGGAGGACCGAACCGACUAAUGUUGAAAAAUUAGCGGAUGACUUGUGGCUGGGGGUGAAAGGCCAAUCAAACCGGGAGAUAGCUGGUUCUCCCCGAAAGCUAUUUAGGUAGCGCCUCGUGAAUUCAUCUUCGGGGGUAGAGCACUGUUUCGGCUAGGGGGUCAUCCCGACUUACCAACCCGAUGCAAACUACGAAUACCGAAGAAUGUUAUCACGGGAGACACACGGCGGGUGCUAACGUCCGUCGUGAAGAGGGAAACAACCCAGACCGCCAGCUAAGGUCCCAAAGUCAUGGUUAAGUGGGAAACGAUGUGGGAAGGCACAGACAGCCAGGAUGUUGGCUUAGAAGCAGCCAUCAUUUAAAGAAAGCGUAAUAGCUCACUGGUCGAGUCGGCCUGCGCGGAAGAUGUAACGGGGCUAAACCAUGCACCGAAGCUGCGGCAGCGACACUAUGUGUUGUUGGGUAGGGGAGCGUUCUGUAAGCCUGCGAAGGUGACCUGUGAGGGUUGCUGGAGGUAUCAGAAGUGCGAAUGCUGACAUAAGUAACGAUAAAGCGGGUGAAAAGCCCGCUCGCCGGAAGACCAAGGGUUCCUGUCCAACGUUAAUCGGGGCAGGGUGAGUCGACCCCUAAGGCGAGGCCGAAAGGCGUAGUCGAUGGGAAACAGGUUAAUAUUCCUGUACUUGGUGUUACUGCGAAGGGGGGACGGAGAAGGCUAUGUUAGCCGGGCGACGGUUGUCCCGGUUUAAGCAUGUAGGCUGGUUAUCCAGGCAAAUCCGGAUAAUCAAGGCUGAGGUGUGAUGACGAGGCACUACGGUGCUGAAGUAACAAAUGCCCUGCUUCCAGGAAAAGCCUCUAAGCAUCAGGUAACAUCAAGUCGUACCCCAAACCGACACAGGUGGUCAGGUAGAGAAUACCAAGGCGCUUGAGAGAACUCGGGUGAAGGAACUAGGCAAAAUGGUGCCGUAACUUCGGGAGAAGGCACGCUGGUGUGUAGGUGAAGCCCCUGCGGGUGGAGCUGAGACCAGUCGAAGAUACCAGCUGGCUGCAACUGUUUAUUAAAAACACAGCACUGUGCAAACACGAAAGUGGACGUAUACGGUGUGACGCCUGCCCGGUGCCGGAAGGUUAAUUGAUGGGGUUAUCCGUAAGGAGAAGCUCUUGAUCGAAGCCCCGGUAAACGGCGGCCGUAACUAUAACGGUCCUAAGGUAGCGAAAUUCCUUGUCGGGUAAGUUCCGACCUGCACGAAUGGCGUAAUGAUGGCCAGGCUGUCUCCACCCGAGACUCAGUGAAAUUGAACUCGCUGUGAAGAUGCAGUGUACCCGCGGCAAGACGGAAAGACCCCGUGAACCUUUACUAUAGCUUGACACUGAACAUUGAGCCUUGAUGUGUAGGAUAGGUGGGAGGCUUUGAAGCGUGGACGCCAGUCUGCGUGGAGCCAACCUUGAAAUACCACCCUUUAAUGUUUGAUGUUCUAACGUUGGCCCCUUACCGGGGUUGCGGACAGUGUCUGGUGGGUAGUUUGACUGGGGCGGUCUCCUCCCAAAGCGUAACGGAGGAGCACGAAGGUUAGCUAAUCCUGGUCGGACAUCAGGAGGUUAGUGCAAUGGCAUAAGCUAGCUUGACUGCGAGCGUGACGGCGCGAGCAGGUGCGAAAGCAGGUCAUAGUGAUCCGGUGGUUCUGAAUGGAAGGGCCAUCGCUCAACGGAUAAAAGGUACUCCGGGGAUAACAGGCUGAUACCGCCCAAGAGUUCAUAUCGACGGCGGUGUUUGGCACCUCGAUGUCGGCUCAUCACAUCCUGGGGCUGAAGUAGGUCCCAAGGGUAUGGCUGUUCGCCAUUUAAAGUGGUACGCGAGCUGGGUUUAGAACGUCGUGAGACAGUUCGGUCCCUAUCUGCCGUGGGCGCUGGAGAAUUGAGGGGGGCUGCUCCUAGUACGAGAGGACCGGAGUGGACGCAUCACUGGUGUUCGGGUUGUCAUGCCAAUGGCACUGCCCGGUAGCUAAAUGCGGAAGAGAUAAGUGCUGAAAGCAUCUAAGCACGAAACUUGCCCCGAGAUGAGUUCUCCCUGAGACUUUAAGUCUCCUGAAGGAACGUUGAAGACGACGACGUUGAUAGGCCGGGUGUGUAAGCGCAGCGAUGCGUUGAGCUAACCGGUACUAAUGAACCGUGAGGCUUAACCUU